RNAcentral lists this ribosomal RNA (318 nucleotides) under uncultured Pseudomonadota bacterium. RNAcentral's name for it is "bacterial SSU rRNA". It matches the Rfam family "Bacterial small subunit ribosomal RNA", at positions 30 to 351 of the family's 1533-position model. The record is from RNAcentral. Lineage: Bacteria; Pseudomonadati; Pseudomonadota.
AUUGAACGCUGGCGGUAGGCCUAACACAUGCAAGUCGAACGCGAAAGUCCUUCGGGAUGAGUAGAGUGGCGGACGGGUGAGUAACGCGUAGGAAUCUAUCCUGUAGUGGGGGAUAACGUUUCGAAAGGAACGCUAAUACCGCAUACGCCCCAAGGGGGAAAGCGGGGGAUCUUCGGACCUCGUGCUAUAGGAGGAGCCUGCGUCGGAUUAGCUAGUUGGUGAGGUAAAGGCUCACCAAGGCGACGAUCCGUAGCUGGUCUGAGAGGAUGAUCAGCCACACCGGAACUGAGACACGGUCCGGACUCCUACGGGAGGCAG